Molecule: ribosomal RNA, 682 nt
Filed under: uncultured bacterium
Lineage: Bacteria
Description: bacterial SSU rRNA
Rfam family: Bacterial small subunit ribosomal RNA
Source: RNAcentral
AAUUCGAUUGAGUUUGAUCAUGGCUCAGGACGAACGCUGGCGGCGCGCUUAACACAUGCAAGUCGAGCGAGAACCGGGGCUUCGGCCCCGGGGACAGCGGCGAACGGGUGAGUAACACGUGGGUAAUCUGCCCUCGGUUCUGGGAUAGCCCGGGGAAACCCGGAUUAAUACCGGAUAGCCUCCACUGCUCAUGGCGGUGGAGAAAAGGUAGCUUCGGCCACCGACCGAGGAGGAGCCUGCGGCGGAUUAGCUUGUUGGCGGGGUAACGGCCCACCAAGGCGACGAUCCGUAGCUGGUCUGAGAGGACGAUCAGCCACACUGGGACUGAGACACGGCCCAGACUCCUACGGGAGGCAGCAGUGGGGAAUCUUGCGCAAUGGGCGAAAGCCUGACGCAGCGACGCCGCGUGAGGGAAGAAGGCCUUCGGGUUGUAAACCUCUUUCAGGAGGGACGAAGCCACUCGGGUUAAUAGCCCAGAGGGUGACGGUACCUCCAGAAGAAGCCCCGGCUAACUACGUGCCAGCAGCCGCGGUAAUACGUAGGGGGCAAGCGUUGUCCGGAUUUAUUGGGCGUAAAGAGCGUGUAGGCGGCCAGAUAGGUCUGCUGUGAAAACUCGAGGCUCAACCUCGAGCUGUCGGCGGAAACCAUUUGGCUAGAGUCCGGAAGANGAGAGUGGAAUUCC